Molecule: microRNA precursor, 102 nt
Filed under: Marmota monax (woodchuck)
Lineage: Eukaryota; Metazoa; Chordata; Mammalia; Rodentia; Sciuridae
Source: RNAcentral
AGCCCAUUGCUGGAUUGUAUGGUAAGAGUAUAUUUAGUUUUAUAAUAAACUGCCACACUAUUUUCUAAAAUGGCUGUACCAUUCUGCAUUUUUAUUAGCAAU